This is a long non-coding RNA of Oxyura jamaicensis (ruddy duck), 343 nucleotides long. RefSeq lists it as uncharacterized. The transcript is spliced from 4 exons. The record is from RefSeq and is a predicted model, not a curated record. Lineage: Eukaryota; Metazoa; Chordata; Aves; Anseriformes; Anatidae.
GUGAGGCCACCCAGAUUACCACACGAGGAACGCAGAAGGCUUUUGUUUACACUGGGGGGGAGGAGAAACAUGGGAACUCUCGGCCUAUGAAGAAAUUGGCCUCUGUUGCCAGUACUAACAAGGCAUCGCUGCCUUUUGAAACCGGGAUGUUCCCUGUUCCAUGCCUCUUCAGACCAAAGACCAGCUACGGUGUCACAACUUCCAACUGAGCUCAGCAAAUAACUCUCCUAACACACCUCCAGCCCAUUGAAUCACCUAGACUUUGUCUUGACAAAGCCCUUGAGCCUGAAGCACUACCUUUAAUAAAUUAAAAAUGAAGAAAGAAAACUAAGAGGACCAAAAA